Molecule: ribosomal RNA, 465 nt
Filed under: Vreelandella stevensii
Lineage: Bacteria; Pseudomonadati; Pseudomonadota; Gammaproteobacteria; Oceanospirillales; Halomonadaceae
Description: partial 16S ribosomal RNA
Rfam family: Bacterial small subunit ribosomal RNA
Source: RNAcentral
CCUACGGGGGGCAGCAGUGGGGAAUAUUGGACAAUGGGCGAAAGCCUGAUCCAGCCAUGCCGCGUGUGUGAAGAAGGCCUUCGGGUUGUAAAGCACUUUCAGUGGGGAAGAAAGCCUUGGGGCUAAUACCCUCGAGGAAGGACAUCACCCACAGAAGAAGCACCGGCUAACUCCGUGCCAGCAGCCGCGGUAAUACGGAGGGUGCGAGCGUUAAUCGGAAUUACUGGGCGUAAAGCGCGCGUAGGCGGUCUGAUAAGCCGGUUGUGAAAGCCCCGGGCUCAACCUGGGAACGGCAUCCGGGACUGUCAGGCUAGAGUGCAGGAGAGGAAGGUAGAAUUCCCGGUGUAGCGGUGAAAUGCGUAGAGAUCGGGAGGAAUACCAGUGGCGAAGGCGGCCUUCUGGACUGACACUGACGCUGAGGUGCGAAAGCGUGGGUAGCAAACAGGAUUAGAUACCCGAGUAGUC